GCACCCAUAGCUCAAUUGGAUAGAGCACCUGACUACGAAUCAGGAGGUUUCAGGUUCGACUCCUGAUGGCUGCGCCA
This 77-nucleotide transfer RNA is filed under the name Kiritimatiellales bacterium. RNAcentral's name for it is "tRNA-Arg". It matches the Rfam family "tRNA". From Rfam's summary of the family: Transfer RNA (tRNA) molecules are approximately 80 nucleotides in length. Their secondary structure includes four short double-helical elements and three loops (D, anti-codon, and T loops). Lineage: Bacteria; Pseudomonadati; Kiritimatiellota; Kiritimatiellia; Kiritimatiellales. The record is from RNAcentral.